UAGGAAGCUCCAUUUUUGUUAUAUUUGAAAGGAGAGUAGCACAUUAAUCUUUGAGAACACCUCUUUUGAUCUCAUAAUUUAUAGAGCUCAGUCAUACAGUUUACCUGUAGGAGAGCCGAGUGUACGAAGAACUCUAUUCAAAAAGCCAUUUUAGAUUCCCCAUUUCCGACUUCAAGCAAAUUUACGUCUCCUGAGCUUCUAUUUCUGGCCAAAGCUUUUCUAAAGUCUGAAACCAAACAAAAGUAUUAGUAUCAAUACGAAGAGUAUUAAAAUAAUAUACAAUUCCAUUAAUAAAUUACAUAUAUAAUUUAAAAACUCACUGGCGGCCUCUUAAUGUUGCGUCGCCGAAUGCAGAAAGUACUGCUACGCUGGCAAAUCACAUACUAUCGGAUUUAAAAUUUCCGACCAUUCAAUGAUGGUCCAUUUAUCGGAAAACUAGGCUAUAUGACGGUGAAAAUACCACGAAAAGGGUGGCAGGAUCAUAAGAUCGCCAUUUAAGAGUUACUGCGUGGGGUGCCCCACCACAAACUCAUCAAUCUCAGCGGCUGUCGACGACAAGAAAUCAGGUGGCGGUGCACCUAAAUGAGCCGCCAUUAUUCGGUGGAGUUAUAAUGCCGCCGCUUCUUUUGGUGGUUCUGCGAGACCAAACGACCAUCAGUGUUGACAAAAUUUGAUCGGUUGCGUAGGUCAUUAAAAUCUGAAUAUUUCGGUAUCGGAGUUGUCACCAAAUAUUUUGAUCUCGCCGGCGACGGCGACGGCGACGGCGACGAAAUAGUGAAUUCUGAUUUGUUAUUUUUAAGUUAUUAAUAAAUUUAAUUUUAUAUUGUUCA
RNAcentral lists this long non-coding RNA (830 nucleotides) under Citrus maxima (pomelo). RNAcentral describes it as "long non-coding RNA (CMAX_LNC003556)". The record is from RNAcentral. Lineage: Eukaryota; Viridiplantae; Streptophyta; Magnoliopsida; Sapindales; Rutaceae.